UUAAGUUCAGCGGGUAGUCCUACCUGAUUUGAGGUCAAAAUGUCAAGAGUUGUCCCCUAGAGGAUGGUUAGAAGCAAAGCCCCAUAAUAAAGCUGAUUCACUGUAGCGUAGAUAAUUAUCACACCAUAGCUGGUCAACAAAGGUUUCGCUAAUGCAUUUAAGGAGAGCCGACUUCGUGAGAAGCCCGCAACCCCCACAUC
RNAcentral lists this unclassified non-coding RNA (200 nucleotides) under Tephrocybe sp. Its description in RNAcentral is "partial internal transcribed spacer 2". Lineage: Eukaryota; Fungi; Basidiomycota; Agaricomycetes; Agaricales; Lyophyllaceae. The record is from RNAcentral.